UUGACCUCAAAUCGAGUAGGACUACCCGCUGAACUUAAGCAUAUCAAUAAGCGGAGGAAAAGAAACUAACAAGGAUUCCCCUAGUAACGGCGAGUGAAGAGGGAAGAGCUCAAAUUUUGAAUCUGGCGUCUUUGGCGUCCGAAUUGUAAUCUAGAGAAGUGUUUUCCGUGACGGACCGUGCAUAAGUCUCCUGGAAUGGAGUGUCAUAGAGGGUGAGAAUCCCGUAUAUGGCACGGACUCCCGUUGCUCUGUGAUACACUCUCGACGAGUCGAGUUGUUUGGGAAUGCAGCUCUAAAUGGGUGGUAAAUGCCAUCUAAAGCUAAAUAUUGGCGAGAGACCGAUAGCGAACAAGUACCGUGAGGGAAAGAUGAAAAGCACUUUGGAAAGAGAGUGAAAC
Molecule: ribosomal RNA, 398 nt
Filed under: uncultured Sebacinaceae
Lineage: Eukaryota; Fungi; Basidiomycota; Agaricomycetes; Sebacinales; Sebacinaceae
Description: eukaryotic LSU rRNA
Rfam family: Eukaryotic large subunit ribosomal RNA
Source: RNAcentral